AUAGACUGGGCUAUAUUAGAAUUAAAAACUUUUAUUCAUUUAAGGGCAUGACUAAAAGGGUGAAAAGGCAAUUCACAGUAGGACAAAAUAUUUACAACACAUAAUCCCCCAAAAGGACUCAUAUUCAAAGUGUAUAAAUACUCAAAGCUCAAACACCUCUCUCCCCCAGUAAUAUCCAGACAUUGAUCUAUAACAAUAGAUUAUUCAGAUGGUCAACUUGCUGCUUUAAUUUGUCUAUAUAGGAAAUGGUGAAAAGUCUUUUAUGAAAUUGAAUGGGAAUUCACUCCUUUGAAGCCAGGGACACAGGAGGGAUGAAGACCCUCUUUGUACUUCCCCCUUUCCUUCCCUCAUAGCUUCUGGGUCUGUGCUUGCCUUGGUGCAACCUGGACCUUGCUGGACCAUGUUUGCUGACCUCCAUGUUCUCUUUCAUCACGUGUUUUUUGAAUCUUCCAUUAUUGUGUCAACCCUGGACAUGCUCUUGUCUGAAUUUCAAGGCCAUGUCUACAGUUCAGAAGAGGUAGUGUCUUCCUUACGUAUCUAAUGGGUUCCCAAAAAUGUGUUUGAAAGUUAGUUGGAUGUUUGAAAGUCGAACAAUAGAUUUGCAUGUUGUAAGGAAGAAUUUGUUCUCAAUUCUAGCUAAAGUAUAUGAUGAAAUCCCUAAUUAUGGUUUCUGCCAGUGCCACCUCCCUCAGGCCUUGGCAACCCUGUGGGUGGGUGAGAACAGGCACAUGGCUGGAGUGGGUGGCAACUGCCAGUCGUUGUGGGCUGAGGAAGUUAAUCCAGGAAUCUCUCCUUCCAAGACUUAGCCCUCCUUCCCUCAUCCCAGCCUGAAAGGGCAAGGGCUGGAGUAGAGGGUCUGGUUCUUUUUUUUUUUUUUUUUUUUUUUUUGAGACAGAGUUUUUCUCUGUCACCCAUGCUGGAGUGCAGUGGCUUGAUCUUGGCUCAUGGCAAACUCCGCCUCCUGGGUUCAAGCUAUCCUCUUGCCUCAGCCUCCCAAGUACCGAGAUUACAGGCUCAAGCCACCAUGCCUGGCUAAUUUUUUGUAUUUUUAGUACAGAUGGGGUUUCACCAUGUUGGCCAGGCUGACUUACUUCGAACUCCUCACAGAAAUGGUGGUCCUGUGUGAGCUGAGAAACUCCAGGAUCCCUGGCCAUGAUCUCUGGAGUUCUGUCUGGCAGUACUGGCCAAUGGAGACUUAUCUCUGGCUGGAAAGGAGGUGCUGGCAGCUCUUGUUAAAGUGCUUGGGAACUCUGCUGGUGGGUACACUGGAAAAACAUAAGUGGAUAACGUCUGAAGGAUACUUUGGAGAUGAUACUGGCAAAUUUCCAAAGGAAGAGUUGGGAACAUUUCUCGUUUUCUCCAUUGUAUCACGCAGCUGUGCCAAUGACUAAACAAGCAAUGGAUUAUGCAGGUUUUGAAAACUUUUCAGGUUUUUCCUUUUGUCUAUAGCAGAGCAGGGAGGGGGAGAGAAUUGGUUUUUAAAGUCUAAUUUAACUACGUUUAAUUUCCUUUGUCUCUAAGUUUGAUAUACAAGAUUUCAGCAAAAUCUUUAGCAAAAAUGAUAGCAAUAGUGUGUUGCUUAUUAUUGCAGAUAUGAUGCAAUACUGGCAGCGUCAUGGGGUCCU
RNAcentral lists this long non-coding RNA (1625 nucleotides) under Homo sapiens (human). RNAcentral describes it as "non-protein coding lnc-CCDC125-14:1". Lineage: Eukaryota; Metazoa; Chordata; Mammalia; Primates; Hominidae. The record is from RNAcentral.